UAUAAAUUGGAUUAUUUUAAUGUAGACUUGCAAAGUAAAUAUGGCAUGAGACCUAGUUGCAUGCCUUUUUAAGACAUUAAAUUCAGGAAAUAGCAUUUGAGAUUCUUUCUGUUUAUUUGAUUUUUUGCACUGUUGGGGACCGAACCCAACUGCUUUUUCUAUGAGCUAUAUCCAUGGCCCAGCAUAAAAAUUUAAAGUUCUUAUAUGAACAAUGCUGCUAUAAACAGUUAUUUUAAAAAAGAAACAAGAAGCAGAAAUCAUUAGCGUUUUCUAUUUCUUUGUGUAUCAACUGCAGUCUUCCAUCUGCAGGCUGAUGCAGCUGAAUUGGUUCUGUGUGGAGUCACUCAUCACUUUACGAUGGUGGAUAUACUUUGAUAGAAGGAGCUGAAAUGAUAACCUGGAUGAAGAUAACUCACGGUCAUUGCAUCAUUAGACCAAGGUGGCCAGAGGAAAGAAAAAAUGCUUUAUAUGAAAUACAUAUGUAAAUCUGGGAAACAACUUGUGUUGAGAAGACAAUAAUGCCGCACAAAAACAACCAACAGUAAAUAGCAUCUGGUUUCUUUUGAAUGCCUAAAUUUUAGCCUAAUUUUUUUCCCUAUCAACAAGCCAAUUGGACACACUCAUUUACUCAAAUGUACAUGGGGAAACAUUGUUGUGUGGCAAUUUCUGCAAUUCGUGAGAGACAUGGAGCUUCCUCAUCAUCAAAUUUAACACAAAAUAUUUUCCUGAAG
This 731-nucleotide long non-coding RNA is filed under the name Mus spicilegus (steppe mouse). Its description in RNAcentral is "lncRNA (ENSMSIG00000001944.1)". The record is from RNAcentral. Lineage: Eukaryota; Metazoa; Chordata; Mammalia; Rodentia; Muridae.